UUCCACAGCUACUGGUCUGCAGCUGUUCUUAAUGGUAGCAGUUGUGGCAUUCCUCUGUGGGAAAAGAAACUGUCAUACAAUUAAAAGCCUCUUUCUUAACUAAAUGGAAAGUGGGCAUGUGAAUGACAGACACAA
RNAcentral lists this small nucleolar RNA (135 nucleotides) under Castor canadensis (American beaver). Its description in RNAcentral is "Small nucleolar RNA SNORA41 (ENSCCNG00000009863.1)". It matches the Rfam family "Small nucleolar RNA SNORA41". Rfam says of the family: ACA41 is a member of the H/ACA class of snoRNA that guide the sites of modification of uridines to pseudouridines. The record is from Rfam by way of RNAcentral. Lineage: Eukaryota; Metazoa; Chordata; Mammalia; Rodentia; Castoridae.